UACGUAGGGGGCAAGCGUUGUCCGGAAUUAUUGGGCGUAAAGGGCGCGUAGGCGGAUAGUUAAGUCCGGUGUGAAAGAUCAGGGCUCAACCCUGAGAGUGCAUCGGAAACUGGUUAUCUUGAGGACAGGAGAGGAAAGUGGAAUUCCUAGUGUAGCGGUGAAAUGCGUAGAUAUUAGGAGGAACACCAGUGGCGAAGGCGACUUUCUGGACUGUAACUGACGCUGAGGCGCGAAAGCGUGGGGAGCAAACAGG
Molecule: ribosomal RNA, 253 nt
Filed under: bacterium
Lineage: Bacteria
Also listed under: 2 other names
Description: partial 16S ribosomal RNA
Rfam family: Bacterial small subunit ribosomal RNA
Source: RNAcentral